UUGGGUUAUAUGAUACAAACAAUAAAACUCAAAAGCCAGUUAAAAAUAAAUAUUUUAUUUAACCAAUGUGACAUCAAGAUGAUCCAUAACAUCUAGAACAUUAUUAUAUAAAGUAUUUCUAGACUUGUCUAUUUUAUUAAGUUAAUUGAACAACCAUAUGAAACUUUAAACAUUGCACCUGCAGUUUACAACAAUUAUUAAAGAGGUUGACAAUAUAUAUAUAAUAUAGGUAUAAGUCUUUUUAUCUAAACAUAUCAUUUUGAUUGUAUAAAUAAUUAUCAUUAUCUGCAUGUCAUACUAUUCUUCAUCAUUUCAAAGCAGAGAAGAGUUCAACAUUCAUAAGCAAUUGAAAGUACAAUUUUGACUAUACACAAUUAUUUUGUACUUUUGAAAGUCCAAAGACAUAAAAAAAGGUCUUGAGGCAUUUGAGUUGUUGUUCACUUAACAUUGUAUUAAAAUUAAUUGGUCUACAAAUCAGUAAUUAUAAAAAAAUAGAAAUACAAUUAAGCGUAAAAAAAUUAGUUUAAAAAAAUAUCGGUUAGGUCUACUUUUAAAAUUAUUUUCGGCAGACAACAAUUUACCUAUUUCCGUAAAUGGAUACAAUUUUUAAUUUUUGGUUUAUUAGCCUACCUACACAUAAAGUUGUAAAAUAUUAUUUUCUUAUUAUGGCUGGAUUUAAUUUAAACGUUAAUAAUAAUUAAUAUGUAUCUUAAUAAUAUUAUUAAUCAUCAAAUAAGUAACUGGUGUUACAAGUGAAUAUUACGUUCAAGAAAAAGUAUAUAUUAAUCAACAUAAAAUGAUACAUAAAGAGGAUUGUCAGAAGAAUAAAAAAAAAAAAUAAAAAUAAAAAUAAAUUGGGUCGUUAUUAUAAUAAA
Long non-coding RNA from Myzus persicae (green peach aphid), 875 nucleotides. RefSeq lists it as uncharacterized. NCBI's taxonomy places the organism in Eukaryota, Metazoa, Arthropoda, Insecta, Hemiptera, Aphididae. The record is from RefSeq and is a predicted model, not a curated record. The transcript is spliced from 2 exons.